GACAGAGGGGGCAAGCGUUGCUCGGAAUUACUGGGCGUAAAGCGCACGUAGGCGGUGCCGUAAGUCGGAUGUGAAAUCCCUCGGCCUAACCGAGGAACUGCGUCCGAUACUGCGGUGCUUGAGGAUCAGAGGGGUGCAUGGAAUUUCCGGUGGAGCGGUGAAAUGCGUUGAUAUCGGAAGGAACUCCGGCGGCGAAAGCGAUGCACUGGCUGAUUUCUGACGCUGAGGUGCGAAAGCCAGGGGAGCAAACGGG
Molecule: ribosomal RNA, 253 nt
Filed under: uncultured prokaryote
Description: partial 16S ribosomal RNA
Rfam family: Bacterial small subunit ribosomal RNA
Source: RNAcentral